This 496-nucleotide ribosomal RNA is filed under the name uncultured bacterium. Its description in RNAcentral is "partial 16S ribosomal RNA". It matches the Rfam family "Bacterial small subunit ribosomal RNA", at positions 28 to 506 of the family's 1533-position model. The record is from RNAcentral.
GAUGAACGCUGGCGGCGUGCCUAAUACAUGCAAGUCGAGCGAACGGACGAGAAGCUUGCUUCUCUGAUGUUAGCGGCGGACGGGUGAGUAACACGUGGAUAACCUACCUAUAAGACUGGGAUAACUUCGGGAAACCGUAGCUAAUACCGGAUAAUAUUUUGAACCGCAUGGUUCAAAAGUGAAAGACGGUCUUGCUGUCACUUAUAGAUGGAUCCGCGCUGCAUUAGCUAGUUGGUAAGGUAACGGCUUACCAAGGCAACGAUGCAUAGCCGACCUGAGAGGGUGAGGGGCCACACGGGACUGAGGACCGGGGCCAGACCCCUACGGGAGGCAGCAGGGGGGAAUUUUCAGCAAGGGGCGAAGGCUGGACGGAGCAACGCCGCGGGGGUAAUAAGGUUUUUAGGAUCGUAAACCCUUGUUAUUGGGAAAGAACAUAGGUUUAAGGACUAGUGAACAUCUUGACGGCCCCUAAUCAAAAAGCCAGGGCAAACUACGU